GAUGAACGCUGGCGGCGUGCCUAAUACAUGCAAGUCGAGCGAACGGACGAGAAGCUUGCUUCUCUGAUGUUAGCGGCGGACGGGUGAGUAACACGUGGAUAACCUACCUAUAAGACUGGGAUAACUUCGGGAAACCGGAGCUAAUACCGGAUAAUAUUUUGAACCGCAUGGUUCAAAAGUGAAAGACGGUCUUGCUGUCACUUAUAGAUGGAUCCGCGCUGCAUUAGCUAGUUGGUAAGGUAACGGCUUACCAAGGCAACGAUGCAUAGCCGACCUGAGAGGGUGAUCGGCCACACUGGAACUGAGACACGGUCCAGACUCCUACGGGAGGCAGCAGUAGGGAAUCUUCCGCAAUGGGCGAAAGCCUGACGAAGCAACGCCGCGUGAGUGAUGAAGGUCUUCGGAUCGUAAAACGCUGUUAUUAGGGAAGAACAUAUGUGUAAGUAACUGUGCACAUCUGGACGGUACCUAAUCAGAAAGCCACGGCUAACUACGU
Molecule: ribosomal RNA, 496 nt
Filed under: uncultured bacterium
Lineage: Bacteria
Description: partial 16S ribosomal RNA
Rfam family: Bacterial small subunit ribosomal RNA
Source: RNAcentral